RNAcentral lists this ribosomal RNA (1299 nucleotides) under Triticum aestivum (bread wheat). Its description in RNAcentral is "partial small subunit ribosomal RNA". Lineage: Eukaryota; Viridiplantae; Streptophyta; Magnoliopsida; Poales; Poaceae. The record is from RNAcentral.
AUGUUUGCCGUGAACCAGAGACUGCUAUGGCAGUUCGCCGCCGCCGCUGCUGCCGCGCUCCGGCCUCCCGUUGCCAUCUGUCGGGCCCAAUCUCCGGCGGCCAGAGCCAUCAAGAAGCGCAAGAAGCGUCAUGACGGCGCGUUCUGGGCCGGCGUCGAGUCGACGUCGCCGUCUGCAGGGGCCGCUAUGGGCGUCGAUUCGCUGGACGAGAUCAUAGUCGUCGACCGCAUGCUGCGAGUGGAGGAGGAUCUUGGCCGCGGGGAGAGGUUUCUGGCCGCGGACCAGGGCCCGCCUCCGUGCUCCGCUGACGCGGCGCUCCGGCCUUCCGUUGCCAUCCGUCGAGCGCGAUCCCCCGCGCUCGGAGCCAACAAGAAGCGCAAGAAGCAUCAGGAGCGCGAGUUCUGGGCCGCCUUGGGCGUCAAUUCGCUGGAUGAGGUCACCGUCGUGGACCGCAGGGUGCGAGCGGAGGAGGAUCUUGGCCGCAGGGGGAGGCCGCUGGGCGCGACCAGAGCAAUCAAGAAGCGUGAGGACGGUGUGUUCUGGGCCGGCAUGGAGUCGACGUCGUGGUCGGCGGCAGGGCCCGCCCCGGGCGUUGACUCGCUGGACGAGAUCGCCGCCGUGGACGGCAAGCUGCGGGACGUCCUGCGUGGCCUAGGCGCGUCUGUCCCCGUGCGCAUCUACGGGAAGCGACUGUCGAAGUCGGACCGGGUGAUCAACCAGCACCGGCUGCUCAUGCCGUGCCGCAGCUGGCGGCACGGCGAGCCGCUCCCUUUCGACGAGGUGCUGACGGCGGAGGAGAAGCCGUCCGUGCAGGUGCAGGCCUACGACCGCGUGGGCCGGCCCUACGUGCUCGACUGCAAGAAGCUGGAGUGCAACAAGUCCUACCGCCUCAUUGCCGGCUGGAGGAGGUUCCUGACCGAGAACGGCCUCGCCGUGUCGGACGACGCCAGGGCCGAGGACCUGGAGCCGGCCAUGGUGGAGCUGUGGGCGUUCCGCUCGCCGGCGCUCACGAUGGGCGUGGCCGGUCAGCCGCGCGGCGCGCUCGGGCUCGUCAUCGUGCACUACCGCCAGGGGGACGCCCCGCACGCCGACGCCGCCAUCGCGGAGGUCCCGGCAGCGGCCAGGAACAGAGCGGCGAUGCCAUUGCCGGUCGUGGUGCCCGUCCUGGAGCACGCCGUUGGUGCCCCACGUGAGGACGCCAUGGAGGAGGCUGAUGAUGGUGGUGCCCGCCCUGGAGGAUGGCCGGACGCGAGGACGCUGGAGGCCGCAGAGGCGUUGCUGAUGCUGAGUGAGCGUUGA